RNAcentral lists this ribosomal RNA (524 nucleotides) under uncultured Cytophagaceae bacterium. Its description in RNAcentral is "bacterial SSU rRNA". It matches the Rfam family "Bacterial small subunit ribosomal RNA", at positions 1 to 527 of the family's 1533-position model. The record is from RNAcentral. Lineage: Bacteria; Pseudomonadati; Bacteroidota; Cytophagia; Cytophagales; Cytophagaceae.
UAGGGUUUGAUUAUGGCUCAGGAUGAACGCUAGCGGCAGGCCUAAUACAUGCAAGUCGUGGGGCAGCAGCAGAGCUUGCUCUGGCUGGCGACCGGCAAACGGGUGCGUAACACGUAUGCAACUUUCCUCUAACUGGGAGAUAGCCAUGAGAAAUUAUGAUUAAUAUCCCAUAGUAUCCUUAACUCACAUGGGUCUAGGAUUAAAGCUCAGGCGGUUAGAGAUAGGCAUGCGGCCCAUUAGUUAGUUGGUGAGGUAACGGCUCACCAAGACAACGAUGGGUAGGGGGCGUGAGAGCGUGGCCCCCCACACGGGCACUGAGACACGGGCCCGACUCCUACGGGAGGCAGCAGUAGGGAAUAUUGGGCAAUGGACGCAAGUCUGACCCAGCCAUGCCGCGUGGAGAAUGACAGCCCUAGGGUUGUAAACUCCUUUUAUAUGGAAAGAACAGCACCCUUUUUAGGGUGUUUGACGGUACCUUAUGAAUAAGCACCGGCUAACUCCGUGCCAGCCGCCGCGGUAAUUCA